Molecule: ribosomal RNA, 124 nt
Organism: Rhinopithecus roxellana (golden snub-nosed monkey)
Lineage: Eukaryota; Metazoa; Chordata; Mammalia; Primates; Cercopithecidae
Source: Ensembl
CUUAAUGCCAUACUACCCUGUACGUACCCGAUCUCAUCAGACCUCAGAAGCUAAGCAGAGUAGUGCUUGGCUAGCACUUAGAUGGGGAAAUGAUUAAGUAAUCGAUGGCAUACGGCCAUUAAGA